GCGGAGUACCUCGGUCUAAGGGAGGUGUUCAGUAAGUCUUGGGCUGCUUCCCUGCCCCCGCAUCGCCCUUAUGACUGUGCUAUCGAGUAAUUACCUGAUAAAUCUCCUAAGGGCAAGUUAUAUUCACUUUCGGCUCCAGAGAGUGAAGCAUUGGAGAAAUAUAUUUCUGAUCCUCUAGCAGCAGGGUUCAUCCGCCAUUCCUCUUCUCCAGCGGGGGGGGGGGGGUGGUUUUGUGGGGAAAAAGGACGGCUCCCUGCGACCCUGUAUUGAUUACCGGGGGCUGUACAGCAUCACGGUGAAGAACACCUAUCCGUUGCCGUUGAUGUCCUCAGCCUUAGAGAGGUUUCAGGGAGCAUCGAUCUUGACUAAGUUGGACCUACGUAAUGCAUAUGAUUUGGUCCGCAUCAGGAAAGAGGACGAAUGAAAGACUGCUUUUAAUACCCCCAGGGGGCACUUUGAAUACCUGGUCAUGCCCUUUGGGUUGUCCAACGGUAUUCCAAGCACUGUCUUGUCAGAUCGUUGUUUGAUUUCUCCCGAGUGUGUCGUGUUCCUGUCGGCGUUCCAGUCUCGUGCUUCGUAUCGUGUUUGAGUUCAUCGUCGCCGGAUCUCUCCACCUCUGGGCUCAUCAUCCCUCUCCCCGAGCUGCAGGCUGACCACCCCGUCCAUGCGCCACCCACCACCAGGAGGAUCUCGGGAGCUUGGGGACUGCUGGUCAUCGCAUGCUUGACAACUACUGCUACGGAUCUGUUGUGUGUGUGUGUGCGCGUUGUGUUGAGGUGUGGGGAUGGAAAAUGAUAGACUAUGAAAGCAUCCCAGGAAAUAUUUUUUUCUUCUUUCUGCGUCUCAAAUUGUUCCUUCAUCCCAUUCCCCUCUCAUCUUUCUCCAUCCCCACAUGGGUGGUCAACAAUGGUGCUGUUGCCUUUAAAUGCCGAAAAGCCAAGAUGUCUAGCUGAGGGUAUUUACCUGUUCCAUCCGGAGGGCGUUUUUCGGCCUCCGCUCCAAAAAUACCACCAGAAGUAGCAGCAGUGCAGCUGGCAGCCGCACGUACGAACCAGUGGACUAUGGACGCGCAGGACUCCGCUCUACUGUGGAUGAAAACUGCUACCAGCGCAUCAUGCGGUGGUCACUUUACCUACAAGGGUUCGAAAUUCUUUUUAAGAAGGGGUGUGCUAACAUUCUGGCGGACUCUGUCGCGCACACGUCAAUAAGGCUCCUGAUGGCGUGGUCCUUGCCAGUGGAACUGAAUGUGUGAGCCAUGUUGUUAUUUUGAAGGGACAAACUCGCCAUGCAAAUGUCAUCCACCACGCCAAUACUUUUGUAUAAUUCCACUGUGGGUUUCUACAGUAAUGGCCCAUGAUCAAAUAGACCAGUUGUUAUAAUUGCUGGCCAGCACAUUAUGUGUUUUCUCAACAUUACACAGCGCGCCCCAAAAUUCCUAAAGUGAAACUGUGUCGCCGUCUUUUUAAAAAGGUGUUCUUGUUUGUUGUGAAUUAUUAUACAAAUGUAGCAAAGAAUGCCAUCUGGUCAGAAAAAGAAACCCUCUUGAUUUAAUAAAGAUGGGAUUAUCACUGAUUCACAUUGUGCUCAACAUUUUUAGUUUAUAGCUAUACUUAUAUAUAAGCUAAUUUUCAUUCAGAGGGGUUUUCUGCAUACUAGUUGAUCAAUGGGCAUUUGUUAGCUGACAGUGACACCUACUGAUGAGUUGAUUCCUUUUGGACCGAAGAUGACGGAGAUCCCCACACAAUUAGUCAUUCUUUAUGCUUUUUUUUCUUGUUUAUUUUAUUUCCAAAAUAUAAAGUGUUGAAAAUAUUAAGCGUUCCUCUUGCAGAGGAGCACUGUUUUGUGGACUUGUCCAUUUAAAUCAACAAACCGAAUACUGUGAAUACUUGUCUAGUACAAAAAAUACCUCCCUUACUUCUAUAACUAACAAGUCCAUUGCAAUCCCUCGUGGCAAAAUUAGUGAUAUUGGGCUGCAUUUAGUUAGUUACAAAAACAAACCGCUCCGUGACCAGAGGCGGCAUAUAAUCUAAUCUAAUCCGAGCGGGGGGAGGUAUUGGUCCUGGGGGACGGGAAGACCUGCAGUUUAUUCAAAUGGAUGAGGCUCGUUCUCUCUCUUUAGUUCUAAUUCAGUCUCAUUUUCACACUUAAGCACAAACAGGCUCUCGCCUGUCUUUGUCAGUCCAUCCCCUUUCAAAGAUAAUUUCCCAUUCCUUGGGUUUUCCCAUGUACAGCCUCCGAACAGCAGUACCACAGUUAAUUAUAUUAAUAAUGAAGACAUUCAUUUACUCUUAAGAGAGGGAGAGAGAAGGGGUGAAGCAUAGUGAGUUUUUGUGAAUGAUUAUCUCACCACCUACCCUCUCUCUAGCCCGCUUCUGUUCUCCUCUUUGUUACUUCCAUUGAAAUUUAAAG
Gasterosteus aculeatus aculeatus (three-spined stickleback) is the source of this 2409-nucleotide long non-coding RNA. NCBI's taxonomy places the organism in Eukaryota, Metazoa, Chordata, Actinopteri, Perciformes, Gasterosteidae. The record is from Ensembl.